Molecule: unclassified non-coding RNA, 179 nt
Filed under: uncultured Entoloma
Lineage: Eukaryota; Fungi; Basidiomycota; Agaricomycetes; Agaricales; Entolomataceae
Description: sequence contains ITS2
Source: RNAcentral
AAUUCUCAACCUCUCUUAGUUUAUGGCUAAGUUAGGCUUGGAUCAUGGAAAUUGCUGGCUAGUCAAGUUAGCUUUUCUAAAAUACAUUUGCAAAGAUAAUUGCUGACUAUGUUUGAUAUGAUAAUUAUCUAUAUCAUCCAUGAUCAGUGUCCCUUUGCCUCUAAUAGUCUGUUAGACAA